UUUGAAUUAUGUCAAUUUCCCUAUUUACAUAUGCACAAUUUUAGAAGAUACUUGUUAAAAUUAAAUAGCUAGUCUGAAAAUUAUGUUAAUAGAGAAAAAUUGUUUCCCUAAAGUUGCCUAGCCCAACUCGUUGGGCAGGUAUAGUUUUGAUGAUAAAUAGCUUGUUAAAAAAUAAAGAUAUUUUACAGGAAAUGGCUAUUCUUGAUAUAUUUACUGAUCGAGAUAAGAGACUUACUCCUCUUGAUAACGAUGGUCAUAUUUACGCAAAUAGAGAUAGUGGAAGGAGAUAAAGCCAAUUUAUCUGAUGUCCCUCAAGCGUUUAUUCAUAUCAGGGAGACAUUUAACGCUUAUAAAACCAUAUCAAAUAUAUUGUCGCAGAGCGAGAUUUUAGAAAUAGAGCAGUUUAUCAAAAGCCGAAAAAAUUUUGUUGACGGGACAUUCAUUGUGCUGCUCAUAUAUUUGACCCAAGGUUUUGCGGAUUUAAUUAAAGAGACAAUGAAGUUGCAAAGGGGUUGGAUAUUAUUAACCGAUUUUCUGGAUAUCUAGAUUUAGAUAUUGCAAGAGUAAUAGGAAACCUAUCCAAAUAUCGUGCAAGAGAAGAUUUUUUUAAUAUAGCAAGUCUUUGGCAAGGCGCAUCAUUUACAGAUCUAGUGAGUUGGUGGAAAAAAUACUUUUAUAUUUCUGUCUAUGUUGCAAUCAAUACAUAUCGACCCUAGCCAUACGAAUUUUAUCAGUACCACCAACAAGUGCAUCCGAAAGAAUAUAGUCCUCCUUUGGAAAUAUUCAUUCUAAAUCUAGAAAUAGAAUAAAAAAUGACUAAGUUCGCAAAUUAGUUUAUAUAAGAGCCAAUCUACAUUUUAUGGGAAAG
Gordionus sp. m RMFG-2023 is the source of this 868-nucleotide long non-coding RNA. RefSeq lists it as uncharacterized. Lineage: Eukaryota; Metazoa; Nematomorpha; Gordioida; Chordodea; Parachordodidae. The transcript is spliced from 4 exons. The record is from RefSeq and is a predicted model, not a curated record.